Mastomys coucha (southern multimammate mouse) is the source of this 825-nucleotide long non-coding RNA. RefSeq lists it as uncharacterized. NCBI's taxonomy places the organism in Eukaryota, Metazoa, Chordata, Mammalia, Rodentia, Muridae. The record is from RefSeq and is a predicted model, not a curated record. The transcript is spliced from 4 exons.
ACAGCCUUAGCCUUUCUAUGCCUUUGACUAAAAUACCUCCAAGUCCCGAGAUGGGCCUCUCUGCUCCUCCUGUUCAUCUAUUGGGAGGAGACCACAGUCAGUUCCUGACAAUCAUGAGAACGAAAUGUCCAGUCUUCAGGAAGGGUAUUUUGAACUGUGUAAGUGAGAAGAGCUGUCUGAGCACCAGCCAGAAUGCAAGUGUGCUGUGACCCGCUGCCUCAAACACCUCUUACCUUCACUUCCUUGGCAAUGGACCAUAACCUGGAACUGCAAGAAAAGUACAGCUGUGCAGAAAAUCACAAAGGAGGAGGGAGAACUCCACAUUGAAGGAUAUAAAAUGCAUCCCCCCUGAGACUGUGACAGAAAGUGACCUCUGACCAGAGCAACCUGGAGGACAACAAGUGACAGGAGAAAACAACGGUCCCUUGAAGGAGUGGGUAGAUACAAAGAUUAAAGGAACUCGGAAGGCUUUGCAGCAAGUCUGACCGGGACCUGGAGCAACACCUAGAAUACCUUCACGAUGCCAUUGCUGUCUGUCUAAUGAAUAAACCUCCAGAUUCCUCCGAGAACAUCUGUGACAGCGGAGACCCUGAGAGAGUGCAGAGGUUGUGGGCCUCUCUGUGUGCUGCUCAACUCCUGCUUUGUGGCUGGCUACCUUUCACCUAGAAAAAUCUUGCCUUUUCAAAGGCUCUAAAAUUCGGUCCCAGCAAGACCUCAUGCGGUUCAUCCUCACAGCUUCGUGUAUUCCAAUUUCCUGGAGUAAUUGCAUCUGAGCAAGGAACGAAGUCUCUAGCUAAAGAAAUACAAUUUUAAUUGCAAAAAGAA